GUAGGUGGCAAGCGUUGUCCGGAUUUACUGGGCGUAAAGCGCGCGCAGGCGGCUCGCCAAGUCUGGGGUGAAAUCUCCCGGCUCAACCGGGAGGGGUCUCUGGAUACUGGCGAGCUUGAGGGGAGCAGAGGAGAGUGGAAUUCCAGGUGUAGCGGUGAUAUGCGUAGAUAUCUGGAGGAACACCAGUGGCGAAAGGCGGCUCUCUGGGCUCUCCCUGACGCUGAGGCGCGAAAGCGUGGGGGGAGCGAACCGGAUUAGAUACCCGGGUAGUCCACGCCGUAAACGUUGGGCACUAGGUGUGGGGGGGUAUUGACCCCCCCCUCCGUGCCGCAGUUAACGCGAUAAGUGCCCCGCCUGGGGAGUACGGCCGCAAGGCUAA
RNAcentral lists this ribosomal RNA (379 nucleotides) under uncultured organism. RNAcentral's name for it is "partial 16S ribosomal RNA". It matches the Rfam family "Bacterial small subunit ribosomal RNA", at positions 527 to 897 of the family's 1533-position model. The record is from RNAcentral.